UGCUGCGCGUCAACUCGGCGCUGCACUGAUUUUCCCUUUCACCUCUCACGCCUUUACCUCCGCAGCUCCCGCCUCUGCGCGCGCGCCUUGUGCUGCGACUCUCCCCCUCCGCGUGCUAUUCCGUGAUCUUGCGUCUUUGUCUGCCUGAUUCUCUUGCUCGCUCCGUACUUUGUGGACAUCUUGACGUUUUAUCCGGCUGAGCGGCGUGAUUGUAAUCCUUGCCUCGCACCACACAUACGCACACACACACACACACACACACACGUUUAGUUGCCCCCCCCCUCUUCCUCCCGCUCCCGCUCCUUGUUUUUUUGUCUCUCUCGGUAGGCGGGUGUGUGUGCCUUCUAUUUUUGUUUUCUGCCUGCCUUGCCAGGUGCGCCACCAUACGUGUAGCGCGCUGUGUGUGCGGGUCUUCUUCUCCUCUGCAGCUGAGCGCGCACGCCCUCCUUAUCCCUGCUAGCUCUCUUCACACAGCAACGCGCCUCUCCCUACCCUCAAAAAGAAAACACACACACAGACAAACCUACAGUCGAACACCUGUUUUAUUUUCAUCGCCGUGUGGUGUGUGUACCGACGUACACAGUCGAGGCACCUCCUCUCGUUUUCUUUUCGGGUGCCCAUCACAGCCUCAUCGCGCGAGUAGCGUACACGCGUCUGUGUGCGUGCGUCGGCUUGCCAGUCAGAAAGCCGGCGCUUCACGUCUCCUCUCCAAACUACACAAGUACACGUACCGGCGUGAGGACGUACGCUGUUUUUGCGGCCAUGGCGAAGGUGCAGGUGGAGUUUCUGGCGCAGCGCCUCAUGUUGACGCUGGCGGAGGAGAAUAAAACAUCGGAGCGGACCUUCUCCAGGGGCGUUGACCUGACAUGGGUGCACCACAAGGCGCUAAUCUACGCCGCCGUCAUCUUCGCCGUCAUCUGCUGCUUCGUUUCGUUCAGCGACCUGCGCGAGCACCUGUCGCGGUUCGACUACCCAAAGCUGCAGGUGUUGGAGAUGCGUAUCAUCAUGAUGAUCCCGAUCUACGCCUUCUUCUCCGCCCUGUCGCUGCUCUUCCAUAAGUGGCGCUUCUUCUUCGAGACGGUGCGCGACACGUACGAGAGCUUCGUCCUGUACAUCUUCUUCAUGCUCAUGGUGUCGUACUGCGGCGGCGAGGGGCAGCUUCUGCGGUCUCUCAAGAGGAAGCGUUACAAGGGCAUGCACCCGUUCCCGAUGUGCUACCUGCCAUCCUUCCCGCUCGACACAGACUUUUACCUGCGCUGCAAGCGCUGGGUGCUGCAGUGUGCGCUGAUGAAGCCCCUCGUCUCCUUCAUUGCCAUGAUCUGCCACCCCCUCGGCAUCUACAAAGAGGGCAGCUUCAGGCUCAAUAAUGUGUACACGUACACCUCCAUUGUCAUGAACAUCAGCCUCACAAUGGCGUUGUACUACCUCGUGCUGUUCGAGAUUGAAUGCAAGAAGGAGAUGUACUACGCCAAGACGUUCUUGAAGUUCCUCUGCAUCAAGUCUAUCAUUUUCUUCAGCUACUGGCAGACUGUCUUUGUGAAUCUCGCCUCAUCGGCCGGCGUCAUCUACCUUGGAGCGCAUGAGGAGGAGAUCGAGGCCACGGGCGCCGUUAUUCAGGAUCUACUCAUGUGCUUCGAGCUGCUGCCGGUAGCCUUCUUGCAUCGUGCCGCUUUUGGCCGCAGAAAGCUGGAUGAUGAGAUGGCCUGUGUCCCGGUGUACAUGAAGGAUAACAACACCGGCGACCUGCGCUCCAACGUGGACACGGCGCUGAACGUGAACGACAUCAUCGACGACACUUUCGGAACCAUCUUCUUCCGCAAAGGCAAGCUGAUUGACCAGGAGAAUGGCGGCGAGAGCGACGAUGAAGAGAUAACCUACGGCGAAGGGGCUGGCAAGGCGGACGACAGCGGUGAGGGCGCCUCGCGGGGUCCGAGUGCCGGUGCGGGAUUCAACAGUGCCGACGGUAGGCUGGCAUUCAUGGGCAACGCUGACGCUCUCGCGCGCGACCCUACACUGGAGGAGCUCGUUCGCCACGCCAUCGUGACGGACUACGGCAUCCGCGUGGACGGCGUGCUCCAUUACGACGCGGACAGCGAUCGCGAGGAGCGAAAUCAAGACAUGAACUUCGCUGACACGGACGUCAUCCUUCGCCGCUCCAAGCACGAGGUGGCGGCGCAGGACGUGCGGGUUGACACAGACCUUCUCCGCUCGCACCAGGUACCCCAGGGCGGCGCGACCCCGCAGAUUUACUGCGUCGUGUGCGGCCGUUUCGAUCGCGAUAUGGUGCGCCGGCGCAACGGGUACAAGUGCAAGGAGUGCGUCGGCUCGAAGAGUCAGUCACUGCUGCGUCGCCGCCAGCAGGAGGUGAUGGAAGACGACGCGGUCGGGCCAGGACACACAGAUGUUGUGGUGGCGGCGAUGAAUGCAACAACGAACGCUUCCAGCGAUGUCGUCGAUAACCAAUGGCAGUUCUCGCCCGCUGUUGCGUCGACCAUGUCGCACCAUGGCGCGGCGGUCGUAAGCGACGAUGACGAGGAUGCAUCGUACGUGCAGCCAAUGCCUACAGAGGCGGACGCGGACCUCGUCGGUGUGACGCGUCUGCCUCAGGACACUACCGUGUCGGCACUCCCCGGCGCCACCGCUUUGGUGGAGGGCUUUGCCAGCCUUCAGCAGGUGCUGCGCGUCACCUUUCAUGGCGAUGAUACGAAGCCCACCGCGUUUCGGACCUCGGCUGCGCCUCCGUCGCAGGGGGGAGCUCUACCGGCUGCCGCGUCGAAGGGACCUCCUGCGGCGGUGACGGCACCGUCUCCAGCCGGGCCGGACAACUUCAAUGGUGAUUAGACGCGUGCACAGUUCCAAUACGCACCCAAGCGCAAGUUGGUGGCAGGGACAUCAACAUUACCCUCCAACGGGGGCCUUUGUAAGCACGCAUACAUAUGUUUGUGCUUGGCUCGGUGUUGCCGUCGUUCUGGAUCGACUACCUGUCUUCGAUCUCUUCUACCUUCGAUCCGUCCCCUCGGUGCGUCUGUGCUUCGGACUCUGCAGAUGGAGACGCUGAUGUCGACUUCGCUUAUUGGCGGUCCCGUUCGCGUUUUUCCUUUGAUCUCUUCCGCCUCCGCGGUGUGGUCCAUCGCUGGCGUGCUGGAUGAGAAGCAGCGAGCACGGCUUGCAGGACUGGACGAGAAACACCACAGAAAGGGGAAGCGUGCAAACAAAGAGACUUCAUCCGGCGCAACAGCGGAACGCAAGCGCGUUGGUAUGACGGCGCAGUGCUUGAGAGUGGCCGUGGAAAGGCCGCGCCGGUUGCAGGCAUCCACGGGGGCGUGUCUUGUCUGAGAAGCCUCGGACAAAAUCCACGUCGAUGGCUGCAAAUGGCUUCGUUUGAGGCGUUGCGGCACUGUCGCGCUCUUGCUCGCUGUUGGCACAUGGGCGAGGGUGCUACCUUUCCUCGACCCCCAUCUCUCCAUGUGCCCCUACUCAUGAUUGGCCAAUCUCGCCAUGGCCCGCUCUUCUUUCUCGGCGGAAACGCAGCAUGCACGAGCCCGCACUCUCCCUCAUGGUGGCUGCACUUCAGUGCUUCGCUUCUCCGAUCUGCUCAUUUCCUUGUCCUCCAUUUUCCCUUCGCAAACUCAACCCUCUGCGCGCUUGCACGCAAAACGUACGGACGGACGGCACAUCCCCCCUCCCUCCACCCCUCACUCACUCACCACCACCACACCACUCGCCCCCUUCCCCCCUGGAUCAUAAG
This 3748-nucleotide unclassified non-coding RNA is filed under the name Leishmania donovani. RNAcentral's name for it is "gene:LdHU3.11.1440(CDS-product:Organic_solute_tra nsporter_Ostalpha_putative)". Lineage: Eukaryota; Euglenozoa; Kinetoplastea; Trypanosomatida; Trypanosomatidae. The record is from RNAcentral.